CGCACGGGUGAGUAACGCGUAUGCGACCUCGCCCGUUGCGAGGGGGAUAAGUCGGGAGAAACUCCCGUCUAAUACCGCGUAACGCCGCGGGGGCUGCAUGGCCCUGCGGCCAAAGGGAGCGAUUCCGGCAACGGAUGGGCAUGCGUGACAUUAGCUAGUUGGCGGGGCAACGGCCCACCAAGGCGACGAUGUCUAGGGGUUCUGAGAGGAAGGUCCCCCACACUGGUACUGAGACACGGACCAGACUCCUACGGAAGGCAGCAG
This 264-nucleotide ribosomal RNA is filed under the name uncultured bacterium. Its description in RNAcentral is "partial 16S ribosomal RNA". It matches the Rfam family "Bacterial small subunit ribosomal RNA", at positions 99 to 354 of the family's 1533-position model. The record is from RNAcentral.